This 253-nucleotide ribosomal RNA is filed under the name uncultured bacterium. RNAcentral describes it as "partial 16S ribosomal RNA". It matches the Rfam family "Bacterial small subunit ribosomal RNA", at positions 524 to 776 of the family's 1533-position model. The record is from RNAcentral.
UACGGAGGGGGCUAGCGUUGUUCGGAAUUACUGGGCGUAAAGCGUACGUAGGCGGCUUUGUAAGUUAGAGGUGAAAGCCCGGAGCUCAACUCCGGAACUGCCUUUAAGACUGCAUCGCUAGAACGAUGGAGAGGUAAGUGGAAUUCCGAGUGUAGAGGUGAAAUUCGUAGAUAUUCGGAAGAACACCAGUGGCGAAGGCGACUUACUGGACAUCUGUUGACGCUGAGGUGCGAAAGCGUGGGGAGCAAACAGG